Molecule: small RNA, 139 nt
Filed under: Arabidopsis thaliana (thale cress)
Lineage: Eukaryota; Viridiplantae; Streptophyta; Magnoliopsida; Brassicales; Brassicaceae
Description: ATSL014210
Source: RNAcentral
UAAAAUACAUUAUUAAUUUCCAAAAAAGUAACCAAUUAAAAUCAACAAAUUAGAUUUGAUAUCUAAAUUAUCAUAUUAAUUUUUUAUUAAUUAUUAUAGUUCACUUCUCAUCUUUAUAUGAUUCUAUUUUUGCGAAAAA